Long non-coding RNA from Pygoscelis adeliae (Adelie penguin), 536 nucleotides. RefSeq lists it as uncharacterized. NCBI's taxonomy places the organism in Eukaryota, Metazoa, Chordata, Aves, Sphenisciformes, Spheniscidae. The transcript has 3 exons. The record is from RefSeq and is a predicted model, not a curated record.
GCUUCGGCCCUGGCAUCGCGUUCUUUGGUGCCGCCACGGUGGUCUGUGAUCUGGUUCUGCUCUACCUGGAUGCGAAGGCUGACUUCUAUUGGAAGGAGAAGUUUGAGGAGGCGAAACCCCCCAAAGGUAAGACCGAGGCUGCAGCUUAGGGACAUCGGGAAUGCUCUGCUACAAGCACCCUUCGCUCCGGAGCAACCUCCAGGUAGAUGCGAUGGGGGCAUGGCUGCGGCCCAAGUGGAGGCGGCCCAGUUCUCCUGGCCUGAGUGUGCCCUGCUGGGGUGAGGGUCUCCCUUUCCCGGAGAAACACUUGCGUUGGCAGUUCUUGGCUCCUGGAGCACAAAGCCAUCCCAUGUGCAGCUCCCAGCACUGACCGGCUGGUGACUGAGCAGAGCUGGGCUGUGGAGCUGCUGCGGCUGGUUCAGCUUGCUGGGAAGCGGCUGGGCCAUGCUCCGCACAAGAGGCUUAAAGCACUUUGCGCUUCUUCACGUUCCACGUGGCCGUGGGCCUUGAUUUCCCCUGAAAAACGGGGAUGCAAC